AUUAGAAAAUUUUAGUUGGGAAGCAGAGAGGGGAAGCACAAACGACAUUGGGUUUCAUGGAAAACAAUGAAUCAACCAAAGGGGGUGGGUGGCCUUGGCUUCAAAGAUCUCUUCAACUUAGCCUUAUUAGCUAAGAAAUCAUGGCACUUGCUACAGACUCCAGAUUCUCUAAGUGCCCGCCUGCUAAAGAGUGUUUACUUUCCAGAUACAUCAAUAUUGCAUGCCUCAUUGGGAUCACACGCAAGUCAAAUAUGGAGGUCCAUAAUUGAGGGGAGAUACGUUCUAAAGCAAGGGUUUAUUAAAAGAAUUGGCAACGGUGCAACAACUAAUAUUUGGGAGGACAACUGGCUGCCAGGAGAUGAAAUGAUGAAACCAUACGGAUGCCUCCUCGUGAACCCGCCAUUGCUUGUCUCUGAACUUAUAGAUGCCACCUCCGCCACAUGGAGUGUAUAA
This 453-nucleotide ribosomal RNA is filed under the name Triticum aestivum (bread wheat). Its description in RNAcentral is "partial small subunit ribosomal RNA". Lineage: Eukaryota; Viridiplantae; Streptophyta; Magnoliopsida; Poales; Poaceae. The record is from RNAcentral.